UGGAAGAUCGAUUGGUGUCAUCGCUGCUGUAGUCGCGGCUCUCGUCGCUCUCGUCGCCGUUGUUGCUGGAAUUGUGGUCUGGAAGAAGAAGAACUCUGGCUUCAAACCUGUUCCACCCAAACCCUCCUCUGAAGGAGAUUCUUCAACCAACAACUCUUAAAUUGUGACUGUGUGUCUUCCUGCAGAACUGAGAGAGUAAGACCUGAU
Long non-coding RNA from Clarias gariepinus (North African catfish), 207 nucleotides. RefSeq lists it as uncharacterized. Lineage: Eukaryota; Metazoa; Chordata; Actinopteri; Siluriformes; Clariidae. The record is from RefSeq and is a predicted model, not a curated record. The transcript has 3 exons.